AAAGACGGUCUUGCUGUCACUUAUAGAUGGAUCCGCGCUGCAUUAGCUAGUUGGUAAGGUAACGGCUUACCAAGGCAACGAUGCAUAGCCGACCUGAGAGGGUGAUCGGCCACACUGGAACUGAGACACGGUCCAGACUCCUACGGGAGGCAGCAGUAGGGAAUCUUCCGCAAUGGGCGAAAGCCUGACGGAGCAACGCCGCGUGAGUGAUGAAGGUCUUCGGAUCGUAAAACUCUGUUAUUAGGGAAGAACAUAUGUGUAAGUAACUGUGCACAUCUUGACGGUACCUAAUCAGAAAGCCACGGCUAACUACGUGCCAGCAGCCGCGGUAAUACGUAGGUGGCAAGCGUUAUCCGGAAUUAUUGGGCGUAAAGCGCGCGUAGGCGGUUUUUUAAGUCUGAUGUGAAAGCCCACGGCUCAACCGUGGAGGGUCAUUGGAAACUGGAAAACUUGAGUGCAGAAGAGGAAAGUGGAAUUCCAUGUGUAGCGGUGAAAUGCGCAGAGAUAUGGAGGAACACCAGUGGCGAAGGCGACUUUCUGGUCUGUAACUGACGCUGAUGUGCGAAAGCGUGGGGAUCAAACAGGAUUAGAUACCCUGGUAGUCCACGCCGUAAACGAUGAGUGCUAAGUG
This 631-nucleotide ribosomal RNA is filed under the name Staphylococcus aureus. RNAcentral's name for it is "bacterial SSU rRNA". It matches the Rfam family "Bacterial small subunit ribosomal RNA", at positions 202 to 822 of the family's 1533-position model. Lineage: Bacteria; Bacillati; Bacillota; Bacilli; Caryophanales; Staphylococcaceae. The record is from RNAcentral.